AGCGAACGCUGGCGGCAGGCCUAACACAUGCAAGUCGAACGAACCUUUCGGGGUUAGUGGCGGACGGGUGAGUAACACGUGGGAACGUGCCUUUAGGUUCGGAAUAACUCAGGGAAACUUGUGCUAAUACCGAAUGUGCCCUUCGGGGGAAAGAUUAAUCGCCUUUAGAGCGGCCCGCGUCUGAUUAGCUAGUUGGUUGAGGUAAUGGCUCACCAAGGCGACGAUCAGUAGCUGGUCUGAGAGGAUGAUCAGCCACAUUGGGACUGAGACACGGCCCAAACUCCUACGGGAGGCAGCGGUGGGGAAUCUUGCGCAAUGGGCGAAAGCCUGACGCAGCCAUGCCGCGUGAAUGAUGAAGGUCUUAGGAUUGUAAAAUUCUUUCACCGGGGACGAUAAUGACGGUACCCGGAGAAGAAGCCCCGGCUAACUUCGUG
RNAcentral lists this ribosomal RNA (434 nucleotides) under uncultured bacterium. RNAcentral's name for it is "partial 16S ribosomal RNA". It matches the Rfam family "Bacterial small subunit ribosomal RNA", at positions 29 to 507 of the family's 1533-position model. The record is from RNAcentral.